Molecule: ribosomal RNA, 609 nt
Filed under: Triticum aestivum (bread wheat)
Lineage: Eukaryota; Viridiplantae; Streptophyta; Magnoliopsida; Poales; Poaceae
Description: partial small subunit ribosomal RNA
Source: RNAcentral
AUGGAGAUGGAAGGAAACCAAAUCCAGACCUCGCCCAUGGGGUCCGCGCCGUCAAGGUCAUCCCCCCGGCAGUGGAGCUGGGGCUCGGCCCUCGCCGGCGCCGUCACCACGGCGGCGGCGGCGGGCGUGCUGGUCUGCAGGCCGAGGGACCCGAGCUUCGAGCUCAUCUCCAUGAACCUGUCCACCUUCCACUUCCGGCCGCCGGCGGCGCUGGACAUCGGCCUCACCCUCACCGUCCACGCCACCAACCCCAACGUGGUGCCCGUGCGCUACGGCGCCUCCAACGUCUCCAUCCUCUACGGGGGCACGCUCCUGGGCACCGCGCGCCUCGACGCCGGCCAGCAGCCCGCCACAUCGUGCCGCCUGCUCCACCUCCCGGCCCGGCUCGACGCCAUGGAGCUCGCCCACCACGCCGGCGCCAUCCUCGCCGACGCCACGCGCCGCCACAUGGAGCUGGACGCUGUCGUGGAGAUCGCGGGCGAGGCCGUCGUGCUGCUCUGGUCGCGCCGCUUCUCCGUCCGCAUCGACAGCCACAUCGUCGUCGACCCCGUCUUCCUCGAGGUCGUCGAGCAGGACAACCGCUCCGAGAUGCAGCUCUACCUAACCUGA